Non-coding RNA from Grammomys surdaster, 369 nucleotides. Lineage: Eukaryota; Metazoa; Chordata; Mammalia; Rodentia; Muridae. The record is from the annotation of a RefSeq genome assembly.
AUGGCUGUCCUGGUAUUGCUCCUCUGCCUGGUCGCAUUUCCAAGCUGUGUCCUGUCCCAGGGGCAGCUGAAGGAGUCAGGUCCUGACCUGGUGCAGCCCUCACAGACCUUGUCCCUCACAUGCAUUGUCUCUGGGUUCUCAUUAACCCCCGAUGGUGUACACUGGGUUCGCCAGCCCCCAGGAAAGGUUCUGGAGUGGAUGGGAGUAAUGUGGUAUGAUGGGAAAACAGAUUAUAAUCCAGCUCUCAAAUCCAGGCUGAGCAUCACCAGGGACACCUCCAAGAACCAGGUUUUCUUAAAAAUGAACAAUAUGCCAACUGAAGACACAGCUACCUACUACUGUGCCAGAAACACAAUCAAGGAAGUCUAG